This 171-nucleotide ribosomal RNA is filed under the name Spirochaetaceae bacterium. RNAcentral describes it as "partial 23S ribosomal RNA". It matches the Rfam family "Bacterial large subunit ribosomal RNA", at positions 2759 to 2925 of the family's 2925-position model. Lineage: Bacteria; Pseudomonadati; Spirochaetota; Spirochaetia; Spirochaetales; Spirochaetaceae. The record is from RNAcentral.
AGGGAUAACCGCUGAAGGCAUCUAAGCGGGAAGCCUGCCUCGAGAUAAGGCAUCCCAGGGGAUUAAAUCCCCCUGAAGGCACCUGGAAGACUACCAGGUUGAUAGGCUGGAGGUCUAAGUGCGGUAACGCAUUCAGCCGACCAGUACUAAUCUGCCGUGAGCCUUGACCAU